Molecule: transfer RNA, 94 nt
Filed under: Lachnospiraceae bacterium A2
Lineage: Bacteria; Bacillati; Bacillota; Clostridia; Lachnospirales; Lachnospiraceae
Rfam family: tRNA
About the family: Transfer RNA (tRNA) molecules are approximately 80 nucleotides in length. Their secondary structure includes four short double-helical elements and three loops (D, anti-codon, and T loops).
Source: Rfam by way of RNAcentral
CCGCCCUUAAUUUAGUGGCAGAAUACCGAGCUUGAAACUGACUAUAGCAGUACAAGCCUAUAGCGGGGCGCUGGUUCAAUUCCAGCAGGGCGGU